AUAGAGAGCUUAAGAGAUAUCGGCGCUCAUCUAUUUAAUUGGGAGUAUUAUAAUGUCUCUAAGUUUUGAAAUUAAAAAAAAAAUUAUCUCUACUUUCGGCCGUAACGCU
Molecule: non-coding RNA, 109 nt
Filed under: secondary endosymbiont of Trabutina mannipara
Lineage: Bacteria; Pseudomonadati; Pseudomonadota; Gammaproteobacteria; Enterobacterales; Enterobacteriaceae
Description: Ribosomal S15 leader
Rfam family: Ribosomal S15 leader
About the family: The E. coli Ribosomal S15 gene 5' UTR can form two alternative structures.
Source: RNAcentral